AUUAUUUUGGCAGAUAAGUGCAACGGAUUUAGAAUUCGUGCAUGUAGUAAUAUAAUUCUACAGGUAAUA
RNAcentral lists this transfer RNA (69 nucleotides) under Eupolyphaga sinensis. RNAcentral's name for it is "tRNA-Leu". Lineage: Eukaryota; Metazoa; Arthropoda; Insecta; Blattodea; Corydiidae. The record is from RNAcentral.